Molecule: non-coding RNA, 810 nt
Organism: Monodelphis domestica (gray short-tailed opossum)
Lineage: Eukaryota; Metazoa; Chordata; Mammalia; Didelphimorphia; Didelphidae
Source: RefSeq, a predicted model, not a curated record
UGAACUUGACCUUUGAUUUUCUCCUUUGAAGGUCAUCUUCAGAGACUCUGUGUGGUGAGCUGGGCUGAAGAAGGAGACUCUUUCCCUGGACCCUGUGUUGGCUUGCUGAUACUUUCGGUUGAGGAGAUUAUCCAUUUGAGGAUAUGGGAGGAGACCUUGACUCAAGCCACUUUUCUGCCUCCCAAGCCCUGCCAAGCUCAUGAUGGAGGUUUAAUCAGCUGAGAAAAUUAUAAAUAUUGAAGAUCCAUGGGAGGAAGCUACUCAACUAAAAAGCAGCCGUGCCAUUCCCCUUGCAGACCAGAGGAGCAUCUGUAACUUCCUUUCUAAUAACAAAGAAGCCACGUUAAUUCAGGUUCUAGUCAUUCAGAAUUUUGAAUACAUUGUUCACGUGGAUGACUGUGAGAUAUCUUCACUGUGGUUCCUCUUUCCAUUGGUGCAGAACCCAGGAUGAUGCUGGUGCUGCUGGUGGUCAUCCCUUCAAGCAACAUUCCAUUUGGGGAGUUUGGAGGCGAUGGAGAAACAAAGAAACGAUGAAGGUGAGCAUCCUCCAACUGCUAACCUGGAAGGCAUGUUGUGUCUUCAUGUCAAUCUCCAUAGAGUGAAUUAACAUUUUGGAGACUGUGAUGAUAAAGCUGUGACAGAUGUGAGAUUUGAUUAGCACAGUUCAGAGCCCCUGCUGAUCCCUACACUGGAAAAAUGAAUACCUUGAGCAGUGUGAGCAAACCCAGAGCCAGAUUGAAAUUGUUUACAUGAAUGGAUCCAUGCCAUAAAGGAAUUUGAAGGGGAAAAUGUUUUAAAAUAUACUAGAGG